This 130-nucleotide non-coding RNA is filed under the name Halomonas sp. BC04. RNAcentral describes it as "Bacterial small subunit ribosomal RNA". It matches the Rfam family "Bacterial small subunit ribosomal RNA", at positions 1 to 127 of the family's 1533-position model. The record is from Rfam by way of RNAcentral. Lineage: Bacteria; Pseudomonadati; Pseudomonadota; Gammaproteobacteria; Oceanospirillales; Halomonadaceae.
AAACUGAAGAGUUUGAUCAUGGCUCAGAUUGAACGCUGGCGGCAGGCUUAACACAUGCAAGUCGAGCGGUAACAGGUCCAGCUUGCUGAUGCUGACGAGCGGCGGACGGGUGAGUAAUGCAUAGGAAUCU